UCUUGACUAGUAUAUCGGUUCAGUACACCCGCUUGUCAUAAAGCAGUUCAUUGGUCCGCGGGAGAGCAGGGUUUGACUCCCUGGUCGAGAG
Molecule: non-coding RNA, 91 nt
Organism: Roridomyces roridus
Lineage: Eukaryota; Fungi; Basidiomycota; Agaricomycetes; Agaricales; Mycenaceae
Source: the annotation of a GenBank genome assembly